GGAGAGGUACUCAAGUGGCUGAAGAGGCGGGUUUGCUAAACCUGUAGGGUCAUGUAUUUUGGCCGCGGGGGUUCGAAUCCCCCCCUCUCCGCCA
RNAcentral lists this transfer RNA (94 nucleotides) under Candidatus Peregrinibacteria bacterium. Its description in RNAcentral is "tRNA-Ser". It matches the Rfam family "tRNA". Rfam says of the family: Transfer RNA (tRNA) molecules are approximately 80 nucleotides in length. Their secondary structure includes four short double-helical elements and three loops (D, anti-codon, and T loops). Further hydrogen bonds mediate the characteristic L-shaped molecular structure. tRNAs have two regions of fundamental functional importance: the anti-codon, which is responsible for specific mRNA codon recognition, and the 3' end, to which the tRNAs corresponding amino acid is attached (by aminoacyl-tRNA synthetases). tRNAs cope with the degeneracy of the genetic code in two manners: having more than one tRNA (with a specific anti-codon) for a particular amino acid; and 'wobble' base-pairing, i.e. permitting non-standard base-pairing at the 3rd anti-codon position. Lineage: Bacteria; Candidatus Peregrinibacteriota. The record is from RNAcentral.